UACAUCGGAUUCAUCCUUACCCUCAACGAA
This 30-nucleotide non-coding RNA is filed under the name Macaca fascicularis (crab-eating macaque). RNAcentral also lists the same sequence under 1 other name. The record is from RNAcentral. Lineage: Eukaryota; Metazoa; Chordata; Mammalia; Primates; Cercopithecidae.